RNAcentral lists this transfer RNA (83 nucleotides) under Natronolimnobius sp. AArcel1. Its description in RNAcentral is "tRNA-Gly". It matches the Rfam family "tRNA". Rfam says of the family: Transfer RNA (tRNA) molecules are approximately 80 nucleotides in length. Their secondary structure includes four short double-helical elements and three loops (D, anti-codon, and T loops). The record is from RNAcentral. Lineage: Archaea; Methanobacteriati; Methanobacteriota; Halobacteria; Halobacteriales; Natrialbaceae.
GGAAGGGUCGCUCAGCGGUAGAGUACCGCGGUGCCACCGCGGCGGCCUCACAGCCUCGUGGCGUUCAAAUCCCACCCCUUCCG